Molecule: long non-coding RNA, 264 nt
Filed under: Bovine leukemia virus
Lineage: Riboviria; Pararnavirae; Artverviricota; Revtraviricetes; Ortervirales; Retroviridae
Description: partial AS1
Source: RNAcentral
AUGGAUCCCGAAGAGCUCGAAGGGCUCGGCGGGGGAGUCGGUGCCGAGGUGGAAAUAGAAGAAGCAGAGGCAGCCGUUGUGGAAACGGAAGGGACUUUAUGGGCACUGUUAGAAAAGGCGGCCCAAAUGCUGCUGGAUGUGGCUGGAAUGUCUCUGCUGGGGCUUGUUACAUGGGAAGACGUUCAUCAGGACCUUUUGGAAGAGAUAUUGUGCACACUUGGACCUGAGCAUCCCCUAGUAGAGGAAAUUUUGAACCUCCGUUAG